ACGGAAGGCAGCAGUGGGGAAUAUUGCACAAUGGGGGAAACCCUGGUGCAGCGGCGCCGCGUGAAGGAAGAAGUAUCUCGGUAUGUAAACUUCUAUCAGCAGGGAAGAUAAUGACGGUACCUGACUAAGAAGCCCCGGCUAACUACGUGCCAGCAGCCGCGGUAAUACGUAGGGGGCAAGCGUUAUCCGGAUUUACUGGGUGUAAAGGGAGCGUAGACGGAUCGGCAAGUCUGAUGUGAAAGGCAGGGGCUCAACUCCUGGACUGCAUUGGAAACUGUCGGUCUUGAGUGCCGGAGGGGUAAGCGGAAUUCCUAGUGUAGCGGUGAAAUGCGUAGAUAUUAGGAGGAACACCAGUGGCGAAGGCGGCUUACUGGACGGUAACUGACGUUGAGGCUCGAAAGCGUGGGGAGCAAACAGGAUUAGAUACCCUGGUA
This 434-nucleotide ribosomal RNA is filed under the name uncultured Blautia sp. Its description in RNAcentral is "partial 16S ribosomal RNA". It matches the Rfam family "Bacterial small subunit ribosomal RNA", at positions 341 to 792 of the family's 1533-position model. Lineage: Bacteria; Bacillati; Bacillota; Clostridia; Lachnospirales; Lachnospiraceae. The record is from RNAcentral.